This 460-nucleotide ribosomal RNA is filed under the name uncultured bacterium. Its description in RNAcentral is "partial 16S ribosomal RNA". It matches the Rfam family "Bacterial small subunit ribosomal RNA", at positions 338 to 795 of the family's 1533-position model. The record is from RNAcentral.
CCUACGGGUGGCAGCAGUGAGGAAUAUUGGUCAAUGGGCGCGAGCCUGAACCAGCCAAGUAGCGUGAAGGAUGACUGCCCUACGGGUUGUAAACUUCUUUUAUAAAGGAAUAAAGUGAGGCACGUGUGCCUUUUUGUAUGUACUUUAUGAAUAAGGAUCGGCUAACUCCGUGCCAGCAGCCGCGGUAAUACGGAGGAUCCGAGCGUUAUCCGGAUUUAUUGGGUUUAAAGGGAGCGUAGGUGGGUUGUUAAGUCAGUGGUGAAAGGUCGCGGCUCAACAGUAGAAUUGCAGUUGAUACUGGUGAUCGAGAGUGUAGAUGAGGUAGGCGGAAGUGAUGGUGUAGCGGUGAAAUGCUUAGAGAUCAUAAAGAACACCGAUUGCGAAGGCAGGUUACCAAGCUGCAUCUGACGUGGAGGCUCGAAAGCGUGGGGAGCAAACAGGAUUAGAUACCCGGGUAAUC